UCUUAGAUAAUGAAUCCUAUGGUUAUAAACGUUUGAUUUCGGAGAUGAUAUGCAUAAAAAGGCAGGCGAACGGUUUGAAUUUACAGACCGAUGCGGAGAGUUUACCGGACGCGUAUUUAAAUGUAAUCGAGAGACUGUCUAAGAUUUAGAAUAACUUUAUGCGAGAGUUUAUCCCCUCCUCUGGUUUAUACACCAGUCUCUAUUAUGUUAACCUUCCCACCUAUGCCUCACUCAUUCGCGACGUUUCGAACCGUGAAGUUUGUUGUUACAAUGCGAUAUUCCGGUCUGCAAUUGCUCUGUAGGGCUUUCGAAUCUUUCUUACCCACCUGGUCUUUCAACCUGGCGAGAUUAUUCCUAAGAUGCGAGGGAUGCGGAGCGAGCGUUUACCGGCGUAUCGGGAAUUCUGACAACG
Temnothorax curvispinosus is the source of this 412-nucleotide long non-coding RNA. RefSeq lists it as uncharacterized. The record is from RefSeq and is a predicted model, not a curated record. The transcript has 2 exons. NCBI's taxonomy places the organism in Eukaryota, Metazoa, Arthropoda, Insecta, Hymenoptera, Formicidae.